RNAcentral lists this ribosomal RNA (1372 nucleotides) under uncultured bacterium. RNAcentral's name for it is "bacterial SSU rRNA". It matches the Rfam family "Bacterial small subunit ribosomal RNA", at positions 28 to 1381 of the family's 1533-position model. The record is from RNAcentral.
GAUGAACGCUGGCGGCGUGCCUAGUACAUGCAAGUCGAGCGAACGGACGAGAAGCUUGCUUCUCUGAUGUUAGCGGCGGACGGGUGAGUAACACGUGGAUAACCUACCUAUAAGACUGGGAUAACUUCGGGAAACCGGAGCUAAUACCGGAUAAUAUUUUGAACCGCAUGGUUCAAAAGUGAAAGACGGUCUUGCUGUCACUUAUAGAUGGAUCCGCGCUGCAUUAGCUAGUUGGUAAGGUAACGGCUUACCAAGGCAACGAUGCAUAGCCGACCUGAGAGGGUGAUCGGCCACACUGGAACUGAGACACGGUCCAGACUCCUACGGGAGGCAGCAGUAGGGAAUCUUCCGCAAUGGGCGAAAGCCUGACGGAGCAACGCCGCGUGAGUGAUGAAGGUCUUCGGAUCGUAAAACUCUGUUAUUAGGGAAGAACAUAUGUGUAAGUAACUGUGCACAUCUUGACGGUACCUAAUCAGAAAGCCACGGCUAACUACGUGCCAGCAGCCGCGGUAAUACGUAGGUGGCAAGCGUUAUCCGGAAUUAUUGGGCGUAAAGCGCGCGUAGGCGGUUUUUUAAGUCUGAUGUGAAAGCCCACGGCUCAACCGUGGAGGGUCAUUGGAAACUGGAAAACUUGAGUGCAGAAGAGGAAAGUGGAAUUCCAUGUGUAGCGGUGAAAUGCGCAGAGAUAUGGAGGAACACCAGUGGCGAAGGCGACUUUCUGGUCUGUAACUGACGCUGAUGUGCGAAAGCGUGGGGAUCAAACAGGAUUAGAUACCCUGGUAGUCCACGCCGUAAACGAUGAGUGCUAAGUGUUAGGGGGUUUCCGCCCCUUAGUGCUGCAGCUAACGCAUUAAGCACUCCGCCUGGGGAGUACGACCGCAAGGUUGAAACUCAAAGGAAUUGACGGGGACCCGCACAAGCGGUGGAGCAUGUGGUUUAAUUCGAAGCAACGCGAAGAACCUUACCAAAUCUUGACAUCCUUUGACAACUCUAGAGAUAGAGCUUUCCCCUUCGGGGGACAAAGUGACAGGUGGUGCAUGGUUGUCGUCAGCUCGUGUCGUGAGAUGUUGGGUUAAGUCCCGCAACGAGCGCAACCCUUAAGCUUAGUUGCCAUCAUUAAGUUGGGCACUCUAAGUUGACUGCCGGUGAUAAACCGGAGGAAGGUGGGGAUGACGUCAAAUCAUCAUGCCCCUUAUGAUUUGGGCUACACACGUGCUACAAUGGACAAUACAAAGGGCAGCGAAACCGCGAGGUCAAGCAAAUCCCAUAAAGUUGUUCUCAGUUCGGAUUGUAGUCUGCAACUCGACUACAUGAAGCUGGAAUCGCUAGUAAUCGUAGAUCAGCAUGCUACGGUGAAUACGUUCCCGGGUCU